CAUGACAGAGCCCACAACAACCAUGACUUUUAUCACCAUCUUCAUCUGGAUAUUUGCCCUCUGUCUCCAAGAGUCCAGAGGCCAGUACACUGUGACUCAAACUCCUGCAGUGGAAACUGUUUCAGUGGGUCAUUCAGUCAGUCUCAACUGUAAGACCAGCAGUGCUGUGUACAGUGACCGCUAUGGACAGAGGAUGGCCUGGUAUCAACAGAAACCUGGAGGAGCUCCUAAACUCCUAAUAUACUUAGCUAAAACCCUUCAGUCUGGGACUCCAUCUAGAUUCAGUGGCAGUGGAUCUGGGAGUGACUUCACUCUGACCAUCAAUGGAGUCCAGGCUGAAGAUGCAGGAGAUUACUACUGUCAGAGUUUCCACAGUGGUAAUGUGUUCACACAGUGAUACAGAGCCGUACAAAAACCUCCCUCAGUCAGACUGCACAGUGACUGUACUGCUACAGCUGGGACCUACUGCAGGUGCUGAGGGGAGGAGAU
Salvelinus namaycush (lake trout) is the source of this 489-nucleotide non-coding RNA. Lineage: Eukaryota; Metazoa; Chordata; Actinopteri; Salmoniformes; Salmonidae. The record is from the annotation of a RefSeq genome assembly.